UCAAAAGAUCUCAACAGGGCACAUUCUAGCUUUACAUUGAAAUGGAGGAAUAUUUCAGUGGCUCAGACAGUGACAGAGAACACAAGUUGUGUUUACUUGUGAUGAUUUCAUUCUCAUUCUCCUGUCUGAAGACUGCAGUAAUGACCAUUUAUGCAGCAGUUAAAUGAUUGGAAGUGUUAAGCACAAAUAAUGACUCUCUGGACUCAAAUUCAUGAGUAUACCCACCUUCUACUCUUGUUUGAAGUGAUUGUUGAUUCUUAUUUGGGUGAAAGGGAUUCAUAUAUGGUUUUUAUAGCUGAAGGAACUUACCUCAUCUCUUUUCAGAAGUUUUCCUCACUUCAACAGUUAGUGUAGUUCCGGAGCUUAAUACCUGGAUCUUGUUCCUGUGACAGAAAAAUGGCCUUCAUGCUCUACUUGUUCAAAUGGUUUCUGACUGGAAGUAAUCAUUAUAUGAAGCACGAUUUUCGACCACGCGAUGGGAGAAUUUUGCCUCGAAUUUUGCUGCUUUUGGUAAAUUAAACUGAUUUUUUUUGCACUUAGCCUGGA
Molecule: long non-coding RNA, 546 nt
Filed under: Daphnia pulicaria
Lineage: Eukaryota; Metazoa; Arthropoda; Branchiopoda; Diplostraca; Daphniidae
Description: uncharacterized LOC124344066, transcript variant X1
Source: RNAcentral